CACUUCUAAGGAAGGCAGCAGGCGCGCAAAUUACCCAAUCCUGACUCAGGGAGGUAGUGACAAGAAAUAACAAUAAACCGGCUUAUGCCGGUUUAAUUGGAAUGAGUACAAUUUAAACAUCUUAACGAGGAACAAUUGGAGGGCAAGUCUGGUGCCAGCAGCCGCGGUAAUUCCAGCUCCAAUAGCGUAUACUAAAGUUGUUGCAGUUAAAAAGCUCGUAGUUGGAUUUCUGUGGGGACGGAGCGGCCGGCCGCAACACGCGGUUCGAGCUAGCGCUUUCCCUACAUCCUGCCGCGAACCGUGCUACCAUUAAUUUGGUGGCGCCGGGGAUCGGCUCGAUUACUUUGAGAAAAAUAGAGUGUUCAAAGCAGGCCACAUGCCUUGAAUAAGUUAGCAUGGAAUAAUAACUAAGGACUUCGGUUCUAUUUUGUUGGUGUUCGGGACUGAAGUAAUGAUUGAUAGGGACAGUUGGGGCGGUCUGUAUUCCAAAGCGAGAGGUGAAAUUCUUAGACCUUCGGAAGACAAACAGCUGCGAAAGCGUUCCGCAAGGAUGUUCCCUUUGAUCAAGAACGAAAGUUGGGGGAUCGAAGACGAUCAGAUACCGUCGUAGUCUCAACUAUAAACUAUACCAGCUAGGGAUCGGCCAACGUUAUUUCAUACCGACUUGGUCGGCACCUUAUGAGAAAUCAAAGCAUCUGGGUUCCGGGGGGAGUAUGGUCGCAAGGCUGAAACUUAAAGGAAUUGACGGAAGGGCACCACCAGCCGUGGAGCCUGUGGCUUAAUUUGACUCAACACGGGAAAACUUACCAGGUCCAGACAUAGUAAGGAUUGACAGAUUGAUAGCUCUUUCUUGAUUCUGUGGGUGGUGGUGCAUGGCCGUUCUUAGUUGGUGGAGUGAUUUGUCUGGUUAAUUCCGUUAACGAACGAGACCCCAGCCUGCUAAAUAGCGCGCGUGAGCUUUGCUCGCGGCGAGCUUCUUAGAGGGACUCUGAUGCGCGAUAGCACAUGGAAGUUUGGGGCAAUAACAGGUCUGUGAUGCCCUUAGAUGUUCUGGGCCGCACACGGGCUACACUGGCGCCUGCAACGAGCAUAUCAGCUGGCCCGAGAGGGUCUUGGCUAAUCUUUUGAACCGGCGCCGUGCUUGGGAUUGACCUUUGCAAUUGUUGGUCAUGCAACGAGGAAUGCCUUGUAAACGCGAGUCAUCAGCUCGCAUUGAAUACGUCCCUGCCCUUUGUACACACCGCCCGUCGCUCCUACCGAUGAAUGUUCCGAUGAAAUUUUCGGAGAGUGCCUGUGAACUUGGCUCUGCCUUGCGAACGGGAAGCUCAAAGUCACUUAAAUCUGAACAUUUC
Molecule: ribosomal RNA, 1352 nt
Filed under: uncultured marine eukaryote
Lineage: Eukaryota
Description: SSU rRNA
Rfam family: Eukaryotic small subunit ribosomal RNA
Source: RNAcentral